GGAUUGCCCCAGUAGCGGCGAGUGAACAGGCAAAAGCUCAAAAUGGAAAUCCUUUUCACAGAGGGAAGGAAUUGUAAUCUAGAGGACGGUUGCGAAGGCAUAGUUUCAGCAUGAGUUCCUUGGAAUAGGACGCCAAAGAGGGUGAUAGCCCCAUACAUGGCUGAGACUGGCUGUAGGAGCUGUUUCAAAGAGUCGGGUUGUUUGGGAUUGCAGCCCUAAGUGGGAGAUAAACUUCUUCUAAAGCUAAAUAUUGAUGGGAAACCGAUAGCGAACAAGUACUACGAAGGAAAGAUGAAAAGAACUUUGAAAAGAGGGUUAAAAGACUUGAAAUCGUUGAGUAGGAAGCGGUUGGAGGGCAGUCACUUGCAACGAUAUUGGUGAGAGCAGGCCGGUCGCUGGAGGGGAUGGUACUUAACAGGGCCUACCAGUCAGUCGAUAACGGACAGCUACGCCUUAUUCGAAAGCAAAAGACAGAUUGGACAUCAGAGUGCGGGAAUAAACGUGGGGGGUCGCACUGAGCCCUAGUUGCUUGGAGCCCCUGCGCAGAAACCGGGACUCGGUGUUGAGGGAUCCUGCGGGAGAAUCUGUCGCGACGUCUCCAACUGACCCGUCUUGAAACACGGACCAAGGAGUGUACCAGUCAUGCGAGUGAUAGGGUGGAAAAACCCGAUCGCGCAGAGAAAUCGAGUAAAAGCAGCGAAUAACAAUGCAGCUGCGGCCUACCCUGAGUUUCUAACGAAGGGCUAGAGCAAGAGCAAGCUUGGUACGACCCGAAAGAUGGUGAACUACGCUUGAGUACGCCGAAGCCAGGGGAAACUCUGGUGGAAGGUGGAAGCGAUACUGACGUGCAAAUCGUUCGUCAAACUUGGGUGUAGGGGCGAAAGACUAAUCGAACCAUCUAGUAGCUGGUUCCCUCUGAAGUUUCUCUCAGGAUAGCUGAAGCCACCACAAAAGCAGUUUUAUCAGGUAAAGCGAAUGAUUAGAGGAUCCGGCGAUCAAAGAUUGUUGACCUAUUCUCAAACUUUAAAUUGGUAAGCACCCUUAGUUACGCUUAAUUGAACUAGGGGGUAGAAUGCAGGGCUUCAAGUGGGCCAUUUUUGGUAAGCAGAACUGGCGAUGAGGGAUGCUCCUUUCGUUGAGAUAAGGUGCCAAAGUACCCGCUUAUCAGACACCAUAAAAGAUGUUGGUUCAUUUAGACAGCAGGACGGUGGUCACCUGCCGAAUGAACUAGCUCUGAAAAUUGAUGGCGCUCAGCGGGACACCGAUACUCAACCAUUGCUGCAAAUAAGAUGCAUGCAAUGCGUAAGAGGGCGUGGACGUCCGGUGUGGAAGGCUAGGGUGUGAACCCGGCUGGAACGGCGUCUAGUGCAGAUCUUGGUGGUAGUAGCAAAUAUUCAAAUGAGAACUUUGAAGACCGAAGUGGGGAAGGGUUCCGCGAGAACAGCAAUUGGUCGCGGGUUAGUCGGUCCUAAGGCUAAGGCGAACGCCGAAAGCAUGGAGAACUUCUUGCUUCUCCGCUGCCGAAAGGGAAAGCGGUUAACAUCCCGCUACCUACAUACGGAUAUUAUGCGGCAACGCAAACAAUCCCGAAGACGUCGGCAUGUGUCACUGGAAGAGUUCUCUUUUCUUUUUAACUAGUCAUGACCACGGAACUGGAUUAUCCAGAGAUCUGGUUGUACGCUAGGCAGAGCAGUCCACUCUACGGGCUGUCAGUUGCACACAUGACGAUCAAUGAAAAUUCGGGGGCGAGGAUUAUUUCGUAGUAGGCCGUACCCAUAACCGCAUCAGGUCUCCAAGGUU
This 1800-nucleotide ribosomal RNA is filed under the name Cyclidium varibonneti. Its description in RNAcentral is "LSU rRNA". It matches the Rfam family "Eukaryotic large subunit ribosomal RNA", at positions 72 to 1874 of the family's 3401-position model. The record is from RNAcentral. Lineage: Eukaryota; Ciliophora; Oligohymenophorea; Pleuronematida; Cyclidiidae.